Cyprinus carpio (common carp) is the source of this 1251-nucleotide long non-coding RNA. RefSeq lists it as uncharacterized. The record is from RefSeq and is a predicted model, not a curated record. NCBI's taxonomy places the organism in Eukaryota, Metazoa, Chordata, Actinopteri, Cypriniformes, Cyprinidae.
AACAGAUUAUACAAUGUUUUCAAUAAAAUAUUGGCAAAAUGUUUCAUAAUAAUAGAGGAAGAACUUUCUUUCAGCCACAUUAGGAACAUGUUAUGAGGAUAUCAUUUUGAGGUCUGAGAUGACAAAAUGUUCUUAAAAAAAAACAAAAAAAAAACACCUUCUAGAACAUUACUAAAAUGGCUUCUGCCCUGAGUGGUCAGCAGAAGUCAGCUGAAUUCCAGGGUCUCGAUUACAAAAGGAAGAAAAAGUCUGGCUUUGGUAUCUGAACUGUUGCCGAACGUGUUACAGGAGACGAGAAGCGCUGAUUGACCCACGUUUAAAUCCACCAAUCACUGCAUACUUUUCUCGUGACGUAAGAACAUUUGAAAUCGAUGAACCGCGCGAACGGCUGUUGAAGAAAUUGGUGUACAAUGUGCGUGGUCGGAAUCAUCUUAUUUUGACAGAACUAAGUGAGUACAGACGGAGUCUUUCACAUUCAAACGCAGCGGAAUCGGAUACAGAGGUGCUGGAGGAGGUUUUACUCGUUUCUACAGUGCGCGGUUCAAACAACAAACCUGUCUCCAGAACCUAAACUGCCUGCUUGAAGCUGAACACGGAUGACGCAAUACAAGUCUCCAUUUACAACAAAGGCCAUGAGGAAGAACUCUAUCAUGCACACAGUAAAUAGAGCUCAGUGCUGCUAACUGGGAGAGCAGCUGGAAAACUGGAGGAGAAGAACAGUUGAACACCUAUUAAUACAGAGGACUGUAUUAUCUUCUACAAGAACCACAACAAGCAAAGACAAUGAUGCUCUCUCUGAGCAAACAACAGUCAGAAGCUUGAUUAUGCACUGCACUUUUCUGAGUGCUUCAAAAUGUGAUGCUGAGUUAGAUUUUGAUGUUGUUAUUUUUUAGGUUAUUAAAUUGUAUGAUUUAAGAAUGUAAUAGCUAAGCUUUUUUUUUUUUUUUUGAGUGUUUAGGAUUCUGGGAACAAAAAAAAACUUCCUGCUAAAAACUUUAUAAGAAUGUAAAGGGAUAAUGUUAUGACUAAACAUGUAAAGAAGGUCACCACAGAAGUUUUUUAGAGUGUUUUUAGAGCAUGUCAUCCUACCUUUUAUAAGAACGUUCUAAGAACAAAAAUAAAGCUAAAAACUUUGUAAGAAUGUUAGGGAAUGAUGAUCUAACAAUGUUAUCACUAAACAUUUUUAGAAUGUUGGAAGAGAAUGUUAUCCUAUCUUAUAGGAAAAUGUUCUGGGACCAAAAAUAAAACUAC